AGAGUUUGAUCCUGGCUCAGGAUGAACGCUAGUAGUAUCGCUUUACACAUGCAAGUCGAACGAGAAAUUUUCUCGUGGCGAACGGGUGAGUACAAACAAAAUUUUACCUUUCAGAUCAGAGCAAAGAUCCUUCGGGAAACAAAAUUCUGAAUAAUUAAAAAGGUUGUUUUAUUUAAAACAAAACAUUCCGCUGAGAGCUAAGUUUGUUAAAGAUUAGGUUGUUGGUAAUUUAAAAGCUUACCAAGCCUUCGAUCUUUAGUUGGUCUGAGAGGACGAUCAACCACACUGGAACUGAAACAAGGUCCAGGCUGACAUUGUCGGCCAGCAGUGAGGAAUAUUGGACAAUGAACGAAAGUUUGAUCCAGCAAUACUACAUGGGCAGAUGACGGCUUAUUUUUAGUUGUAACCCCCUAUCAUUAAAGGAGAUAAUGACAUUAUUUAACGAAGUUUAGUCCUGGCUAAUACUCGUGCCAGCAGCCGCGGUAAUACGGGAAGGGCAAGCGUUAUCCGGCAUGACUGGGCGUAAAGAGUCCGUAGACUGUAAAGUAAGUUUUUUGUUAAAUCUUAAAACCUAAUUUUAACAGAGCAACUAAUACUGCUUUACUUGAGUUUAAUGCAGAAAAGUAGAAUUUUAUACGUGUAGGGGUGAAAUCCGCAGAUAUAUAAAGGAAUGCCAACAGCGAAGGCAACCUUUUGGUAUAAACUGACGUUGAGGGACGAAAGUGUGGGUAGCAAACAGGAUUAGAUACCCUGGUAGUCCACACCGUAAAUUCUGAGUGCUGUAAUUUAAUUGUAAUGCCUCUUUAUUAAUAGCAUUAUUUAGAUUCUCAAGCUAACGCAAUAAGCACUCCGCCUGAAGAGUACGAUCGCAAGAUUGGAACUCAAAGGAAUUGACGGGGGCCUAACACUAGUGGUGGAGCAUGUGGUUUAAUGCGAUAAUCCGCGCAAAACCUUACCAAUUCUUGACAUAGAAAGCUAAAACAUCAAUUAAAGCAAGACAUGUUUUAACUUGUUAUGCUUUUUACAGGUGUUGCACGACUGUCGUCAGCUCGUGUCGUGAGAUGUUUGGUUAAGUCCUGAAACGAGCGCAACUCUUGCUUUUUAAUAUAUUUACGUACAAAAUCUUUAACAGUUCAAGUUUUAAAGGUUUUUAAGCUUUAAAAGUACGGUCAACGACAAGUUGAAGGAAGGUGAGAAUGAGGUCAAGUCAAUGUGACCCUAAUGAAUUGGGCUACACAUGUGCUACAAUGAAAAUUACAAAAAGUAACAAAAAAGAAAUUUUAAGUUAAUCUACAAAGAUUUUCCCAGUUCGGAUUGUAGACUGCAACUCGUCUACAUAAAGUUGGAAUCACUAGUAAUCGCAAAUCAGCACGUUGCGGUGAACACGUAAAUUGGUCUUGUACACACCGCCCGUCACUUGCGAAGAGUCAGUUUCGCUUGAAGGUUUUAGUAAAACCCAUUGAGAGAUUGGUGAUUUGGAUGAAGUCGUAACAAGGUA
RNAcentral lists this ribosomal RNA (1498 nucleotides) under uncultured bacterium. Its description in RNAcentral is "bacterial SSU rRNA". It matches the Rfam family "Bacterial small subunit ribosomal RNA". The record is from RNAcentral.